GCCGGAGUAGCUCAACUGUAGAGCAACUGACUUGUAAUCAGUAGGUUGAGGGUUCAAGUCCUUUCUCCGCACCA
RNAcentral lists this transfer RNA (74 nucleotides) under Planococcus salinarum. RNAcentral describes it as "tRNA-Thr". It matches the Rfam family "tRNA". From Rfam's summary of the family: Transfer RNA (tRNA) molecules are approximately 80 nucleotides in length. Their secondary structure includes four short double-helical elements and three loops (D, anti-codon, and T loops). Lineage: Bacteria; Bacillati; Bacillota; Bacilli; Caryophanales; Caryophanaceae. The record is from RNAcentral.